AACGAACGCUGGCGGCAUGCCUAACACAUGCAAGUCGAACGAGACCUUCGGGUCUAGUGGCGCACGGGUGCGUAACGCGUGGGAACCUGCCCGUAGGUUCGGAAUAACUCAGAGAAAUUUGACCUAAUACCGGAUGAUGUCUUCGGACCAAAGAUUUAUCGCUGUUUGAUGGGCCCGGGUUGGAUUAGGCAGUUGGUGGGGUAAAGGCCUACCAAGGCGACGAUCCAUAGCUGGUCUGAGAGGAUGAUCCGCCACACUGGGACUGAGACACGGCCCAGACUCCUACGCGAGGCAGCAGUGGGUUAUAUUAUACGCUGGGCGCAGACCUAAUCCAGCCGUGCCGCGUGAGUGAUGAAGGCGUUAGGGUUGUAAAGCUCUUUUACCCGAGAUGAUAAUGACAGUAUCGGGAAAAUAAGCUCCGGCUAACUCCGUG
RNAcentral lists this ribosomal RNA (433 nucleotides) under uncultured bacterium. RNAcentral's name for it is "partial 16S ribosomal RNA". It matches the Rfam family "Bacterial small subunit ribosomal RNA", at positions 29 to 507 of the family's 1533-position model. The record is from RNAcentral.